This 294-nucleotide unclassified non-coding RNA is filed under the name Hevea brasiliensis (rubber tree). The record is from RNAcentral. Lineage: Eukaryota; Viridiplantae; Streptophyta; Magnoliopsida; Malpighiales; Euphorbiaceae.
GGUCUGCUGCCUUGAUAAACCAGGAUUUGCCAAGUCCUAGCUUGGGCGCUAACUCGACCUCAAUAGUCGGAUGUGUCUUUGGCAUUCGAAGCCGACUCCCAUAUGUUAUCAGGACCCCAAGCAUCUUACCAAAUCAAAGCGUUGGCAUCAUCUCCUAUGUUAUGAUGAGCGCUUUUCAAAAGAAGCUCAUGGCCUGGCAAUAAAUUCCAAAUGCAACAACUGUUUCUAACCUUUUGAACCUGAAAGAAAGUAGAGGCUAGAAAAUACAAUCCAUUUAUAAGCAGCUAUUUAGAU